GAAAAAAGGCCCCGACCUCAGAAGGUCCGAGAGCCACAGCUUGGAUCCAACCGGAAAUGCAUGCAGCGUGAUAAAGGGACGAGCGUUGUAAACAACUGUGAAGGGUUUUGCUAGCUGUAACAGGAAUGCCGUUUCAAGAGUCCUUUACUUGAAACUCCAGGAUGUUGUGUGAAGUCCUGCUGUCAUCGUUAUGGUUCCUGUUUGUUAUCUUCUGGGUCGAGACAAUAGGUGUUUGGCUGUUUCUGUCUAUGUUCUACCAAGACCGGGCUUUUUACUACUGGGGAGAUGGGACCCAAAUGCAGACUUUAUGACUCCUCAAGCCCCUACUGAACAAUGGAUGGAAAAACACUUAAGACCUCAUUUGCAAUGUCUAUUAUGGAAUCAUUUUUGCAUGUUCUGUUCAUGGUUUAGUUAACAUGAUGUUUUCAGAGAACUAUUCUUUUGAUGUUACAGGGUAUUUGCAGAUGAUCCUGGACAGAUGAUAAACAUGUUUAGCA
Long non-coding RNA from Trematomus bernacchii (emerald rockcod), 497 nucleotides. RefSeq lists it as uncharacterized. NCBI's taxonomy places the organism in Eukaryota, Metazoa, Chordata, Actinopteri, Perciformes, Nototheniidae. The record is from RefSeq and is a predicted model, not a curated record. The transcript has 3 exons.